UUUCUCACUGCUGCUGCUACUGCUGCUCUUACCAUUGCCGCCACUCGCACGUUUCAGUGCAUGUGUAGCCACCCUUUUCUUUGCUUUUCGAAUUUGGCCCCCCCCCCCCCCCCCCCACGCCCGCUUCCGCUCCGCAACUGCGUCGGCCAGGCGGGACCAAAACGGUGACGAGUCAGAUUGACGCGCGAGAGGAGAGCGAGGGCGGUCCAGCUUGGCGGCGCUAUACGGCGCACACCCCGUACACGCGCCACACCGACAUCUGCCCCUUGCUUUGCCGCCGACCUAUACAUACUCCCAUUCAUUUCCUAUACACACAUACGUGCGCCGACACCCACAUAAGGAAACAACCGCUCGCGCACGACGCAUAGGUCAUCGUGCACAUCACUAUCUUUUCACUACCGCUGCUGCCCUCGACCCCUUACCCUCCCGGCUGACAAGAGCACAGGGGUGGCGAAGCAGCGCCGAGAGAGGGAGGAGGCGGCCCAACGAGGCUGACGCUGUGGAGGGCGCCCUUUCACUGCAGCCUAGAGGACACUUCUCCCCGACUCACACGAGCACAACCCACAUUUCGCUCUACAAGGGAACAUGCAGCGAGCGGGCGCGAGGGCAGCGAUCAUAUCAGCGGCACCGUAAUCUCCUUCCUCCCUCGCUGACGGACCGAAAACCCCCUCCCUCGUCGUUCCCAUUCCACCUCGCCAUCCACCCCGGCGGCGUCUUCGCCCUCGCCCUCUUGGCCGCAUCACCACCAUCACGGGCACUGACAACAGCCGAGGCCAGGCAAAAGCGGGGGCUUAUUUUCUCCCGUGCUCCGGGACGGCAGGAGCGCUUUGGCGCGGACUUCAUGUUGCCCGCAGCGGUGCUUCUCAAGGAGCAGUCCCCACACAGCUCCACGACGAACGGUUCCUCGCGGCACGCGCACAACAAGUCCUCGGCGGCGACCGCUCUGGCUACCGGCGCUACUAAUGCCGUUUCAAGCGGGGUAACGAGAACUUCACCGCCAUUGCUGGUGAGCAGCUCCGGCACUGGCGGUGUCAGUGGUGGCUCUUCGCCGCACACUGGCUGCGUGCGUUGGUGCAUGAAUGUCGCCUUGCAGUCCUUCACCGGCGAGCCCUGGGCGGUGAUGCUGCAGCCGGCCGCCGAGGACGACUUUGUGCUCAACGGGUCAUUUCACGGCAGCCCCGCCGACUCCUCCAUCACCCCACCUUCCUUGACCCUCCUCCACCCAGCCUGCACCACGACGAGCGCGGCCGCCAACAGCAUCUGCCAGCAGUCUCUGCAGGGGAAGGGACCCUCUAACGGAACGCCGCAUGGGAGCGGCAGCAGUGGUAAUUCUCCGGUGCACAGUCCCAUGGGCACGCGCAUGAGCUCCUCCAUGCUGCGCAGUGGAUUACAGCUGGUGGCGAUCGACUAUAGCAAUCCUCAGCCGCAGUACCCCGGCGGCCCGGUGCUGGACGCUGCCGCCUUCAGCUACGAUCCAUUGAGCGAAGAGAGCGCCGCGCUGCAUCAGUGCGUCUCGGCUGUGAACAGCCCGCCAGUGACGUACGGCGUUGACGAUCUGCUGGGCCGCAUUACCAAUGUGGAGUUCAUUGCCGCGGGGGGCAGUCCGGAGGAGGCUGCGGCCGGAGCGCCGAUGCACUACAGACUGGCAUCCUCCCUGGAGCCGAUGUUGAAUGCCACGCUGAACCCAGCCAUCACCGCCGUUGUAGACCACUGCCUCAGCUCGAUUGUGCUUGUGUACGGCGCAACGCAGGAGAUGAAGCAAAUGGGCCUGAUUGGCACCCCGGAGGAGUGCGGGUUGCUGCCGCAUGGCAUUCGCACCCUAAUGGAGCGCUUGCUCGACCGCAAGGAGCACCAGCUAUCAAAGGCGGCGAGUUUAAACUGCACCGCAAAGCCGACCGGUGACCGGGCUGCGGCAGCGUCAGACAGCGUUGGCUCCGACGCCUCGCCGUCAGCCCCACCCCGUGCGGCGGGAAGCGUGUCGCCACCGUUCGGCGGCGGAGACGACGCUGUCUCGGACAGCGACCACACCGAAGCCGUGCACAGUCGCUCGGCCACUUCGCACACGCACAGUUUCGUUUUCCCGUCUAUCGGUUCCCGGCACCACCGGUUUGUGCGUAUGGAGGCGACUUUCAUCGCCUUCGACUCGACCAGCGUGGUGGACUUGCUGGAUCUAUCUAACAAGCACGCGGAGCUCGUGCUGAAGCUUGCGCCUCCGCCGACACCGUCUGCGUUCGAGGAGAUGACAUGUGAUGUGAGCGCGGCAGCCAGUACGUCUCCCACGACGGACUCGUUCGUGCUCAACGCGCAAGCGAUGCCGGUUGAGAACGCGAACGACGCCCUCUCUGCGCUCGACAUCGGCCUGGACAACCUCACACGGGCGUUGGAACUGCCCCUCUUGCAGUCAGAGUCGGGCUCGUCCUUGCUCUUUUCGCUCACGGCCUUUACCGACACGUGUCGGUGCGCGACGAUGCACAUGCUGUGCCUUGCCGAAGACCCGGCUGCGCAGGCCUGGCUGGUGUCGACUGUGCAGGCCCGCAGUCAGGCGAUUCCGCUCGGUGAGGAGCAGAGCUGGGCGUCCAUCCAGAAUACGCCGAUGCCGCCGCCACUGCACCACCACGCCGCCACGAUGCUUGUGCCGGCGCUCUGCUUCGGCAAUAUGUUCACCUCCGUUCUCAUAUGUGUGUACAACUCCAUCACAGCGCUUAGCCGGCUAAACCGUGACUUGACGUUAGCGGUGACAGGAUAUCGCAUGCGCACCAUCCCGCGCGUGACGCUGGCGAGCUCAAGGCGCGGGCUGAAGAAGCUGCCGCCGAGCUGGGAGGAGCACUUCACAAACGACGGCCGACGCUACUUUAUCGACACCUCCACGCAGACAACCACUUGGAAGGACCCGCGCUUUACCUAUCCGCAUUGCUCAUCUCGCUCCGGCGGCUUGACAGGCAACAACCCAAGUGGAAGCGGCACUGGCGCCGACAGCGGCAGGUCGAGUCGCAGCGGCAGCCCUCACCACCGACCCAGUCGCAUCAGCCUCGGCCCAGGCGACAAAGAUUUCUUGAUGAGCCGCCUUCAGCAGGAGAUGCACGGCGGCAGCCCUAGUGCCACGGGCAGCACCGGCACCACUCAGCAGCCCGCAGCGUGUGCGGGGAGGCUGCCCGCGCUAGGUGCCCCCGCUUCAGGCGCGGAUUCCCUUGACAUCGGCAUCAUCGUCGUGGACACGAUGUGUCGUCCACGCGUGCUGAUCCACUCACGGAAUCCGCAGUUUGCCUUGCAGUAUGACGAGCAGGAGGAGGUGCUGCGUGCGAAGCGACGAGAGUUGGAGGAGGCGAGGGUGGAGCUGCAGCGGAAGGCGAAGGCGGCAGCUGUGCUAGGCGAGGCCGCGGGGGAGGCACAGGACGCCGGGCCGGCAAGCGUGCCGGAUACGGCCAAGCCGCGGGAAGCCGUGCAACCCAUUGUUGAUCGGGCUGCGCCAACCCAGGCCGUGGACUUGGCCCACUCUUCUCCAACGCCAGCGAAGGGGGUGGUUGGGCUGGACGACGUUGACGACGAGGAGAUAUCAGCGUUAUGCCACAGAAACUCGGUCAAAAUCGAAGACUUCAUGUUCGAGGACGAUAGCGACGAGGGUGGCGAAGAUGACGAGGCGAGCGGCACCGAGCAGAUUUCAACACCCGAGUCCGCCUUCAAGGCGGGUGGAGUCGCGAUAUCACAAAGCUGCACAGCCUCCAGCGCCGAGGCGCGCUUCUACGCCAACGUGCUGCAGGAGCAGGCUGCCGGCGUCGGCGAGGUGAGUGCUUCGAGCACCGUGUCAUCCACGGAUACCUCCGUGGCCGUAUCACCGGUGAUCAAGAGUGCUGCCGCGCCGGGAAGCAGCAGCAACAUCGCAGCUGCUGCAUCUGAUGAGCAAAGUUCUAGCGUCAUCAGCGAUGCCCCGCACGGUGGCACCACGAUGGCAGCGACCCCGCCCGAGGUGCAGGACCUGGAGUCGCUGGUUGACGAGUUUACCGCCUUCUACAGAAGAGCGUUUGAGCUGCAACAGCGCGUUGCGGAGCUUGAGGCGGAGCUGAAGAGGCCGAAGUCGACUGCUCGUUCGUCGUCGCCGUUGUCGUUGCCAGUGGCAGCAGAAGCCUCGGACGCCGGUGUGCAUGAGUUGGUGCAGCAGAUGCUCAAGGCGGUGGAGCUGUCGCCAUCAGCUGAGGUGCGCGCUGCACUUACGCCGAUGCUGACAAACUCCGCGUCCACCGCGCCGGCAACGGCCACAGCUUCGGUGGUGCUGCAGGCAUUUCACGAAGCUCUGCGAAUUGCAGCGCAGACCAACCGUGCGGGAGGAAGAGCGAACGCUGCUCCAAAACAAUAAAAAAAAGGUGGACCCAAUCAGAGAAGCAGGCCGAGGAGCGUGUAUGCGCACUUUUAUGUGUGCGCAAACAUAUAUAUGUGUAUGUGUGUAUAUGCGUGUAAGGGUGCCGUGCUGUGUGUUGGCGUUUGAAGAAAAAGGAACGUGCGUGUGUGCUCGUGUGUGGCGAACCCCUCACCCACAUCGCUGUCUCUCCAGUCUGCAUCUCUUGCAUUUCCAUGAUAUAUAUAUAUAUAUGUAUUACCAUGUUUGCAUUGUUUUUUCGUCUGAUGAGUGGGCGGCGAUUUUACGCUGUCUUUGCGGGACGCUUGAUCGAUGGUGUUAUGCGUUUGUGUGCUUGUAUACAUAUAUAUGUGUGUGUGUGUGACGUGCGGUGCCGUCAUUCCCCUUCGGAUUUGUGUGCUGGCCUGCUUUGUUGCCAUUCUGUUUGUUGUGUGCUCUCAAUCAGUUCGUAGCUUGCACUUCAUGUAUCUUACUCUCUGGAUCCUAACCCAUAUGUUUGGCGUACCGGUUCGUGCGGGGUGGUGGCGGUGGGGGGGCGGGGAUCAGUUGACGGGUGUAUCGCUGUGCGAGCGUGUGUGCGUGUGUGACCAGAGAUGUAACCAUCGAUGCCUACGAACAGUUGAAUGAGGAGAAAUACAGGGCGCAUGAUCGAGGUGGAGAGAAGUCGCGCGGGUGCUGGCCGAGGUUCUGCCCGGCCACCG
This 5052-nucleotide unclassified non-coding RNA is filed under the name Leishmania donovani. RNAcentral describes it as "gene:LdHU3.30.1480(CDS-product:WW_domain_containi ng_protein_putative)". The record is from RNAcentral. Lineage: Eukaryota; Euglenozoa; Kinetoplastea; Trypanosomatida; Trypanosomatidae.